AGACUCACUGCUGAGCAGGGAGCCCAAUGCGGGACUCGAUCCUGGGACUCCAGGAUCAUGACCUGAGCCGAAGGCAAUUGCUUAACCAACUGAGCCACCCAGGCACCCCUCUCUCUCUGUCUUUAUCUCCCACUCGCAAAUAAAAAAGAAGAAGGAGAAGAUGGCUGAUACCAGCUCGCCAAAUCAGUUGGACUACUUGGUUGCAGUACGUCUUCCAUAGUGGAGGCCUCUGGUGGCCAUUAAUAUGCAUUCAGAGAUCUUUAUAAUCCAUGCCCACUCCUGUCCAUCCAUCCAUGUGCCUCUACCCUUGUCCCUGACCUUCUUUCUCCUUUUAGGCCCCUGGCCAACCAGCCAAGCCGUUUGCUACUUCCAUGAGUUUGUUUUUUUUUUCUGGCCUCGGGCCUGUUCUAUUUCUACAGAAGGUGGGUGGCUGGAUAGCCUGAUUUGUGCCUUGCAAGGAUUUCCCUUCGCCGCUGUCUUAAAGGGCCACCUGAGUGGAGCUAUCUUGCAGCAGCAGUUUAUUUUUGUUCUGCAUCUACAUACCAGGCCAACCCAUCUGUGAACCAACCUUGGCUUUUUUUUUCUCUCUCUUCUGUAAGUUGGUUGUACGGGACACACACCCAUCCUCUUGGUCAUAGGUGUGAGCUGAGGGAGAGGCCUCUGUGCAACAAUAGUGAACGGCGUGGGAGGCAGUCUGGGCCACCUGCUCAUGUCCAGUGCCCUAACUACCACAUAUCUUAGAAUGGAUUGCUGCCGGGCCUACUCAGAUUUAUAGUUUAAUGUCUGUUGAGUCACAUUGUCAAGCACUCCACAAGGUGCAGCAGCAAACCAAGAGCUAUUUUCAAAUGACCUAUAGUUCCUUGUGGCAAAUGCCAUGGCCUUACUCCAGAACCGCAUGGGUCUACAUUGCAAUCUCCAGUUAGGUUUACCAUAAGCUCUAUACAGCAUCUUUGCCCAUCACAGAUGCUUUAAGUAUCUUAAGAUCUACCAGGUUUUAUGGACCAAGGGGCAAAGCUGCUUACGCCACAUGCUGCAGUCAUUCCUGCUCUGGACCCUACUUAAAGCUUUCCAUGUGAUGUGGCAAAUGGGUUAGAGCACUAUUCCCAUGAAUGGACUUUGCUGACCUUAGAAUCCAUACUGACCUAUGGAGCAUAUGAUUCCUUUUUAGUGAUGGGAGAAAUUAGUCCUUUAUGUUGAAGAUGUCCCAGCAGUCUCCUAAAUCUUUAUAGGCUUUAUCUCCCAUCAUACUUGCACUUGUAAUAUGCUUAUCCUGUUUGGUUGAUGUGAAGCCAUCAAUGUAUUGGACUAAUGUCCUGCAGCAUAUCUACAAGGUCAGGCUUCCUACAAACUGUAUUUUUUUUUUUUUAAAGAUUUUAUUUAUUUAUUUGACAGAGAAAGACACAGUGAGAGAGGGAACACAAGCAGGGGGAGUGGGAGAGGGAGAAGCAGACUCCCUGCAGAGCAGGGAGCCCGAUGCGGGACUCGAUCCAGGGACUCCAGGAUCAUGACCUGAGCCGAAGGCAGUCGCUUAACCAACUGAGCCACCCAGGCGCCCCUACAAACUGUAUUUUGACAGCAGAAGAACUAACACAGCCCUGGGGCAAGGUCAUGAAAGUAUAGUGGUAUCAGUCUUCUGUGAAUGCACACUGCUCUGGCCCUCAGUAGAGGUGGAUAAGAAUAUAUUUGCCAAGGAGGCCAUAUACCAGGUACCACCAUGUGCCUGAAGCAGCGUUAAUUUAUUCUGACAAAGAUACCGCAUCUGUCUGGUUUUUUAGUGACCUGACUGGUGAAUCAAUUGAGAAUAAGCAGGCUGUCAUCUUUAUGUCUUUUCCUUUAUAUCUCUUUUAUAUAUUUAUAUCCUUUUAUAUUAAAAAAAAAAACCUAGAUCUCUUUUAAUCUCCUUGAUAGCUCCUCUCAGACCCACAGGAUAUGGCAUUAUUUAUGAGUUACUAUCUUGGCUGGUGGGGGCAGGAGGGUGGUUUCAUAGGCUUUCCCAUGGCCUACCCCAGUGUGGUUAACUAGAUGGUCUGCCUAGCUACCAAGUAUGUGCAUUCUGAUUAUACAUGCUGGGACUAGUCAAAUAACCACUGGUAGGUCUGUGGACCCAGUGGGCCCACUCUGAGUCAGACCUGUAUAUAUCUCCAUAUAUCUCCACCAGCAUUCUAACACAGGUCAUGAUGACGCUUUGGGUACCCAAUAGCAAUGUCAACUCAGAUCCGUAUGUCCAAUCAGUCCUCUGAAUCUCUGGAUCUUCCCCUUGGCCCAUACAUCUCUUGGGGAAAGACAAAGAAGGUAACCAUCCCAUAUAUGUUGUGUGAUAUUGCAGGAUACUUACUUCUGAGGGCUCAGCUUUCCCUUCAAGUCACUGAGUUGUCCAGAACCUGGGCAACAGAUUAUGAUUUUGUUGUUGUUGUUGUUUAGGUGCUUACCCUCAGCCUCCUUGAUUUCUUUUGAUUGUAUAUAGAUUGCGUGAUACCCUUGUUGGCUGCCCCUCUGUCUAACUUGCCCUUCAGAAUGCCAUGUUCUAUUAACCAUUUCUAUGUUCUCUCUGGGUUAGGCUAUCUUAGCUUCCAUGGUGAUUUUGCUCCUUAUUACAAUAAUUACAUCCACCUUGCUUCUGAUAUCAUAUGCUUCUCAGCCUCUAUUAAUUUGAAUCUCUAUCCUCCCAUUGUUAUCAGGGCUAGUUCUAUAGCAGUACCUCCUAGUCUCAGCUCUCGCCCGCAGAGGACAGCUACCACUGAGCUUCUUCAGUAGUAGUAUUUCUCACCAACACAUUUCUUAUCAUUCUGCUAAACAAAGUGUCCGCCUGGCCCUCCCUCCCAUGGAACAUAGUUGAUGGGUUUUCUGAUCUUAGGUAAUAUGCCCAUUUUAACACACCCACUUCUCUGGGCCUUGGACCCCUUUCUUUGCCACUUACUGUGGCAAUUUUGGCAUUUCUGUUGUACUUAGUGUGGACUGUUGCUUCUUCUAAGCUCUUAGGGAACGACCUACCAGCAUAUUUGCAUAAUUUUUAGGGCCUUUGCCAGGAUAUCAAUCUUCUAUCAUAGGAGAGUGUCCUCCUAUUGAUAAACACUCAUAUCCAACUUUAUAUUCUGUUUCUGUCAAUUCAGCAUCACCCGGAUCCAGUCCCAUAUCUAUUCUCCAUGCUUCUGCCAGUAUGUACUGAUGGGGUCUUAUGGUUCCUUCGAUACAAAGCCUCUUCCCAGCAGACCCAGCACUUCCCUGGCCGGGUGGUGGUGCAGCUUGACCUGUUACUGGCCAGGCAGCCAGGAGAGAAGGUGGGAGCAGACUGAAGGGGAUGAGCAGACUUUGAGUGGUCUACAGGCAGUGGAGAGUGGGUCACAUCUGAUCUCAGGCCCCAGUGUGUGGAUUCCAAAGUUCUCUACAACAGAAGCAUCAUCCAAUUCUACAGGGAGUCUAGAGCUGCUGUGAUCCCCAUUUCAAGCCUCAGUUCCUUCUCUACUGGGGCCCUGCCUAAGUUGAGAAUUUAGUCUUCUCUGGAGCUCUGUUCCCUUAGCAUUAUGUCCUAGCCAAGCCUCCACUGCUUCUGUCCUCUGGCUGAAGGAGAUGAGAGGUUCUUUAUAUGCUCCCAAGCAGACCCCUCUGACUCUCACACUUUGCCUUAAAUAGGUGAGUAACUGUCCUCAGCCUGUUGCUGUCAUUCCCCAGUGCAUUGACAGCCCUCAGCCCGUGAGGGGGGAAGGAAGCCUAAUGGGGCAGAGGGAGAAGGUGAACAGCAAUGCAGUCACAACAAAGGCCUCAGCCCAUCCCAUGAUAAGCUCUAGAGCUUCUCUGGUCCUUCAGAGUUACCUCAAUUUAGGAGCUGGAGCUAUCCCUGGCAGCAUUGACCAGUUAUUAGAUGUGGGGUGCACCCAGAGGAGGCCCAACCUUGGAUACAGGCUAUGAAUAAAAAGGGUCCUUGACCUCGAGGAGCUCACAGUUGGAAACCAUACACCCACAGAAGAGUCAGGACAGCCGCCAAGAUGUCAGCAACAAGAUGUGUGCAACAUGAAUGGGGGGGGUGGGGGGGGGCUUGUGACUAAAAAGAUAAGACAAUUCUUGGUACAGUUGAGUUUGUUCGUUUUUUUAAUGAGCUUUGGAGUUCAAAUUUUCCUUUCCUCAAGAGAUGCUCAAAUCUCUGACUCAAAAGGGGAAAACUUCCUGAGGGACCCUGAAGCACAGAGCUAGUGAGCGUGACCCGCUCAGUCAACAGGGACACCGCCACCCCCCCCCCCCCCCCCCCACACACACGCGUCCCUUCUCACUGAACUGUGCCGCAGAGGAGGCGGGAGACCUCGACUGUGGACUGUUGAGAGUCGCAUGGCCGGGGCAGGGCGCUCCAUCAGAGGUGAGACCCUCACAAGGGCCAUGUGUGUCAGGAAGUGGCCCUUCCUUCUGCUCAUGAAUGCAACGAGAGCUCAGAGUCAGGGAAGGUCCCAGUCCACGAAUAAAAGCGUAAGGGGGGAGCAGUGUGUCCGCCUGCCUGAUGGCCCUCAUAAAAACUGCCACAAGAUGGCAGCAGGAGCUCGGGCCAUAGGGAGCGGUGGGGGAGGAUGGUACUGGGGUAGAGUUGGUACCCCUGACAUACACACGUUCCAGAAGAGGUGUGAGGAACAAAAAACUGCAUACAGGCUCUUGGAACCUAUUUAAGUCAGGGGCUUACACGCUGGUACUUCCCCUGGCCACGUGCCGUUUCUCCCAAGGUUCCCAUGUGUUGCUUGUCUCCUGUACCUAUUUACAUUGGCCCCAUUUGAGUUCUUCCCUCUGGCUGAAUGUGGACCCUUCAGUCAGAAACCUUAAUAUCAAGACUGCCCCUUAAGACAUCCGGGGCUUGUGCAAAGUGCUCUCCUUCCACUGUUCCCCCUGCCCCUCACAAGAGACCCCACUCGGGUCUGUAGAGCUGGUGCUUCUCAGGACCCAAGAGAACACUGUGCCUGCAGGCCAUCGGCCUUUGCUCUCAGGAGAAAGCGAGCGGUAGCCUUUGGUGCUCUCCAGCCGCUGGGUGGGGAGAGCGUGCAGGCGCGCCCCGCUCCACACACAGCCCCUCAGGCCAGCGGGUAGAAACCUCACUGGGCAGUUUAACAGAGGCUGUAAUCUGAGGCGUUCAAGAUGAGCGAGCAGGUGAGGGAGAGCAGAGAGGGAAGGGCCCCGAAGGAACAGGACCGGUGAUUACAGCAGGAGCUCCUGCCCCAGGAGCAGAGGGAAGAGGUGAGCCUCUCAGAACCCCGUGGGCCUGGCUCAGCUGCAACUCCAGCUCUGAGGGGACAUGCCCCUCAGGGGUACCCCGCAGCUGAAAAGGGGCAAACGGCUGAAGACGUGACGGCUGCAAGGGCUCGGGGGGAGCAAAGCUGAAAAGUCAGCCCUGUGCCUUCCCCUCCUCCUCCCUUCCAGGCUCCUUCGGCCUUUCUUGCCCAGGCAGCUGACAAAGGGGGAGGGUAAUGUGGGCAGUGUGGACGGGGGUCUGGAGCUGAGAGGGGGCAGACCAGCCCCUGGCCAGGCAGCUCUACCAUGAGCUGCCUCAAGGUGGGCGCGUGCUGAAGGGCAGAGUCGCCACCCAGCUCGUGAGCGAGUUAUGCUCGGAGAGAGGGGACAGACGUGCGGGAGAGGAGAACGACUUCAACGGGGGUGGGCAGGCUAGAACCAACCCCCAACUCCUGAGCGCAGCUCCGCGGGCAGUGGGGCAGCAGAAGGAGCAACUUGAGCCCCCUGGGGGCCACACAGGCCUGGACAGGGGCCGCCAGGGCUAGCCCCCAGCAGGUGGCAGGCCAGAGGGGCUCCUUGGAAGUCUGCCCUGUAUAAGACCCCAGGGGCUCUGCGCAUCCGUGGGGGGUGUGCAGGGCACCAAUAAGGACGGGCUGAAUUUCCCGGAGGUACAAGUGGUGACACACACAUAACAUAAAGUUUAGCGUCUUACCCGUUUUUAAAUGUGCAGGUCAGUGGCGUGAAGUGCAUUCCCACCGUUGUGCAGCCAUCACCACGGUCCAUCUCUAGAACUCUUCAUCUUGCAAAACUGAAACUGUCCCCAUUGAACCGCUCGGCAUUCCCUCCGCCCCCAGCCCCCGGCAGCCACCGUUCGGCUUUGUCUCUGUGAAUCUGACUGCUCUAGGUACCUCAUGUGAAUGGAAUCGCCCAGUAUUUGUCCUUGCGCUCAGUAUGUGGUCUUCAGGGUUCAUCCGCGUAUCAGGAUUUCUUCCCUCUGAAGGCUAAAGGACCAUUGUGUGGCUGUGCCACAUUCUGUUUAUCCAUGCAUCUGCUGAUAGACACCUGGGUUGCUCUCACCCUUUGGCUAUUGUGAGUAAUGCUGCUCUUAUGACCCCUUUUGACAGAGGCGCACACUGAGGCAUGAGGGGUGAAGUAACUGGCCAUCAGUCCCACAGCUAGCAAGUGGCAGAACUGGGAGCCCAGCUGAGCAGUCAGCUUCAGAGAUUGUGCCGUUGACCACCACAAGCCCUUCUUGAUGCUUGUUGGGAGGCACCAGGAAAGAGAGCCCCUUCCUUUGCCAUCUGAUCAACUCGGACCCGGGACUGCUUUGCUGGGAGCUGAGUCGGGUUGAAAAUUUGUAGAGAUGGGGAGAAAUGUUGGGAAUUAGAAAACGAUUCCUUUUUUCCCCCCCAUCAAACCUUGAGUCUUAUUUUAUCCCUGGAAAACCUGGGUCAAAUGAGGAGGUAGAGAGAUUUGUUCAGUGAUGGGUCCUCCACAGGAAACUCCUACUACCUCGGUUCUGCCCCCACCAGUAACCACAGCAUCCUGACCAGUGGCCUGAUUGGGGGUGAGAACUAGAGCUCACCUACUUCCAUGUACUAAAAGAAUAGCUACUCUGCAUUCUUGUAAGGUCUUCCAUUCUAAAAUCCUUAAAUAGUCUCAUUAAUAAAUUCUUCCUAGCAAGCUGACUACCAUGGCAGGGGCAUAUUAUAAAAGACGUAUGUGAUCACUGUGGGGUGGGGAAAGAAACCAGAAAUCCCAUGGUUUCACACAGUGCUUAACAAAAAUCUAACAAAGUCUACAAAAUUUAGAUGUGAAACGUUCGCGAUUUGGGGCUUUAAGUAAAGGUCCACCACACCUAAUGAAUCAGCUCUUUGUCUGGAUAACACUUGUGUAUCAGGUUUUCAUGAGAAGACCCUGACUCUUCAGGUCUGCAGGUUUCUAAAUAUCAGAUUUCUAAAACAUAGAAUGAGUCACAGUUUUGCUGCUUCCCUUUGUCAAGGGAUUUCUUUCUGUGGGACUGAGCCUUUAACCUGUGGGGUCCUGUGUUAACUCCAGCUUGGUCAUGUCAGAACUGAACUGGAUUGUUGCACACCCAGUUGAUGUCAGAGAAUUGGUUGUUGUGGAAAAAACUCCACAGAUUUGGUGUCAGAAAAAAGAUACUGUUUUUCCACCAAAUAGUGGAAUCAUCAAACUACAGCCUGUUUCUGCGACAUUUUCCGCCUCUUGCAAUUCUAUUUUCCCUGGAGGUUUGGGCGAUUAGCCUACAUUAUCGCCUACACUCACUGACAGCCAACCAAACUGACAUAUCGGGCAUGACAAGUCUUUGCUGUGGGGACUCCUAACAAUGCAUCGGACCGCGUGUAGCAACAUCCUUGGUUUCCACCGGCUAGGUGCCAGCCAGUAGCAUCAACCUAAAAGUUCCUGGCUGCCUGAACAAAGUGCGGUGGUCGCCUGGUGACAAAGGCUAGAAAAAUGAGUGUAGUGUAGUCCUGAAGGAGACCUGGGGUCUGGUCCUGCCUCUGCUCCAAACUCCGUCUGUGACUUUGGGCACAACUACUUAACCUCUCGGCGUCCUUGGACCAGAUCAACCUAGUUCGUUCAGCGACAAAAUGCUCUGCGGGCUGUGCUUAAUUUACCUCUCUGAAUGGAAAUUAAGCUCAUUAAAGGUAGUAAGUCGGGUUUUGCCUUGAUUCUUGUUCCGUCAAGGCCUAAAUUCCCAUCUGUCUGAAGGAUUGGACCCUGAGUCUCCUAUUUCACAUAGUGAGAUGCUUGCUGGGAGGCACCAGGAAAGAGAGCCCCUUCCUUUGCCAUCUGAUCAACUCGGACCCGGGACUGCUUUGCUGGGAGCUGAGUCGGGUUGAAAAUUUGUAGAGAUGGGGAGAAAUGUUGGGAAUUAGAAAACGAUUCCUUUUUCUGAGCUGAAAAGGGGUCUGUGCUGGUCCAGAAGCUGCUGACAACCUGAAAGAGCGUCUAGCCUGUGACUCUGGAGUUGACUGUGUUAAGGAGUCUCGUGGGCUUAGUGAGAGCACCUUCCCCGCUGGAGCCUUUCCUGAGUCCCAGCCCAGGGGUGUGUGUGUGUGUGUGUGUGUGUGUGUUGUGUGUAGGGGACCAAGGUGGGAACCCAUAGCGUCCCUGGGGCAGACACGGGGGCGGGGACCUGAGGCCUGACCUAGCUGCCUGCUCAGUCCCUGCGGGUCCAGCGGCACCGGGCUGACCACAUUCUGGAGGCAGCGGUCACCAGCCACUCACCCUGCCGGCCUCUGUCCUUCAAAGAGAGGCCUCUAUCUUCUCAGAGCUGAGAGCACCUGAGCUCAGCAGGCCAGAACAGCACUGGGGGGCAUCUCCGUUCUCUCCAGAGAGUGAGAGAAACACAGAAAGUAGAAGGAAUUGAAGUCCAUUGAAAUGGUACCUUGCAGCACCAGUAAUGAUAGCAAUAACGAUGCUCACAUGAUUAAGAGCUUACCAGGCACCCUGAACUAGGCUCAGCCCUUUAUAAGAAGUAUUUCAUUUGCUUCAGGAGACAGUUGUAGUUUUUACCCCCAUUUUACAGAUUGGGAAACAAGUCACAGAGGUACCAUCCUGCCAAAACGAAUAAGCUCUAAUGAUUUCCUGUAGGAAGCACUGGGCCCGGGGAAACCAGACCCUCCACAUGCAAAGUCUCUUGUUCCCACGGCUCAGUGGGAAGAAUUUGGGACAUCUCAGCAAGUGUGGCCUAAGUUUCCUUAAAGCACUUCUGAUUCUUGGGAAAGGAGAAGAUGUGAGUAUAGGGCCCAAAUCACAGCCCGGAUGCCAAUGGGAGGGACGGUCUUCUUGCUAACGAG
Long non-coding RNA from Mirounga angustirostris (Northern elephant seal), 9026 nucleotides. RefSeq lists it as uncharacterized. The transcript is spliced from 2 exons. The record is from RefSeq and is a predicted model, not a curated record. Lineage: Eukaryota; Metazoa; Chordata; Mammalia; Carnivora; Phocidae.